AGCUCUGUAAGCGUAUACCAAAGUUGUUGCAGUUAAAACGCUCGUAGUCGGAAAUUGGUGAUUUCGGGUGUUUGCGCGUGAAGUGCGAACAUUGUCGGGAAUUGCUUUUGUGGGAUUGUGCGGGAUGAAGCACUUUUAUUAGUGAACGUCCAUCGUGCGACCACUGUUUACUGUGAGAAAAACAGGGUGCUCAAAGCAGGCAUUUGCCGUGAAUGGAUUAGCAUGGAAUAAUAGAAUAGGACUCGGUUCUAUUUUGUUGGUUUGUUGGGACAGAGUAAUGAUUAAGAGGGACAGUUGGGGGCAUUUGUAUUUCGGCGCUAGAGGUGAAAUUCUUAGAUUGCCGAAAGACAAACAGCUGCGAAAGCGUCUGCCAAGGAUGUUUUCA
RNAcentral lists this ribosomal RNA (385 nucleotides) under uncultured eukaryote. RNAcentral describes it as "SSU rRNA". It matches the Rfam family "Eukaryotic small subunit ribosomal RNA", at positions 587 to 972 of the family's 1831-position model. The record is from RNAcentral.